Molecule: long non-coding RNA, 654 nt
Filed under: Chlamydomonas reinhardtii
Lineage: Eukaryota; Viridiplantae; Chlorophyta; Chlorophyceae; Chlamydomonadales; Chlamydomonadaceae
Description: long non-coding RNA (CREI_LNC001388)
Source: RNAcentral
GUACUGGGAAGAUUUCAGCUUUUAACUUAGUGUACUAGGAAGGAUGUAAGAAGGAGAAAACGGCCUCAACCCGAUGAUGUAAAGUACUCUGCACUCCUGGACGGCUUUGGGUGUUGGGGUUGAUUGAUUUUUAUAGGCAUUAGCCAAUAUGCACAGUGUGGCCAAGUUCAAUUACACAAUUCGACGAGUUGACAAACAUGGGUUUGCGUCCCCCGGCCGGGGGACGCGCGACCACUUUCUCUAAGACACCCGAAAAGCCCGAACUUCUGGGACAAGUACUCUAAGUGCACAACAGACUAUUGAUAUCAACCGCUAAAGCCAUGCGCCAAGUGACAGCAGUGACCGGAGGGGUUCAUUGCUGCCUAGGUUGACACAGCCAGCUGCUCAGGUGCAUUCCUAUGCUCAGGAAGCAUACACUACAUGCAACUACAUUACUAAAGUAAGUUUACAGCUCAGGAAGUGCGGCGGUCUCAGCUUGGCCGUCAGCGACUGCCGGAGGGUUACUGGGGGGUUCAGGGGCUCGGCAGGGGCGAGGCCGCCCCAAGGAUCCCACAGGCCUCGCCCCAGACUUCUCGCCCCUAUGUUCCCACUUAACAAACAUACAUUUGGGAGCUCUUACAUGGCCUUCUGGGCUGGCGAGGGUACAGGGGCCAG